This 497-nucleotide ribosomal RNA is filed under the name uncultured bacterium. RNAcentral's name for it is "partial 16S ribosomal RNA". It matches the Rfam family "Bacterial small subunit ribosomal RNA", at positions 28 to 507 of the family's 1533-position model. The record is from RNAcentral.
GACGAACGCUGGCGGCGUGCCUAAUACAUGCAAGUAGAACGCUGAAGCUUGGUGCUUGCACCGAGCGGGUGAGUUGCGAACGGGUGAGUAACGCGUGGGUAACCUGCCUGUAAGCGGGGGAUAACUAUUGGAAACGAGAGCUAAUACCGCAUAAGAGUAGAUGUUGCAUGACUUUUUCGUAAAAGGUGGAAUUGCAGCACUAUCAGAUGGAACUGCGGUGUAUUAGCUAGUUGGUGAGGUAACCGCUCACCAAGGCAACGGUACAUAACCGACCUGAGAGGGGGAUCGGCCACACUGGGAAUGAGACAAGGCCCAGACCCCUACGGGAGGCAGCAGGAGGGAAUCUUUGGCAAAGGACGGAAGUCUGACCGAGGCAAGGCGCGUGAGUGAAUGAGGUUCUCGGAUCGUAAAGCUUCGUUGUAUGGGGAGAACGAGUUUGGGAGUUGAAAGUGCACACUGUGACGGUACCUUAUCAGAAAGGCACGGCUAACUACGUG